GGGGGGAGGUCAGAUCCUGGGCUGUGUCCCCGGCUCCCUGUGCUCCCGGGGCCUGUGCUGCUUGAAUCGAGCUCCCCCCGCGCAGCUCCCU
Molecule: microRNA precursor, 91 nt
Filed under: Canis lupus familiaris (dog)
Lineage: Eukaryota; Metazoa; Chordata; Mammalia; Carnivora; Canidae
Also listed under: 1 other name
Description: mir-8799 microRNA precursor family
Rfam family: mir-8799 microRNA precursor family
Source: Rfam by way of RNAcentral